Molecule: small RNA, 634 nt
Filed under: Pan troglodytes (chimpanzee)
Lineage: Eukaryota; Metazoa; Chordata; Mammalia; Primates; Hominidae
Description: retained intron
Source: RNAcentral
CAUCAUUAGCAGAGUAAUGAUUCUAAGCUUUGAUAACAGUAACUAUCACAUCUAAUACUAUUCUAGUUCCAAGAGUGUCAUUUAUGUCAAAAUUGAUACCUAUGUAUUGUUUUUUUUUGGUCUUAUGUACUUUUACUUUUUUUAUCACUAAGUUGCUUUGGGAUAUCAUUGGUACUUAAAGAUCAGUUUCUUUUGUAGGCUUCAUGAACAGUUGACUGAGUCAGAACAGGCUGCCCAGUGUUACAUCAAAUAUAUCCAAGAUAUCUAUUCCUGUGGGGUAUGUAUCAUACCAUGAGAAUUGUACUGCUGAUAUUAUUACUGUCACCUCAGUAAUUUUGCUUUCCCUUUCUAGGAAAUAGUAGAACACUUGGAGGAAAGCACUGCCUUUCGCUAUCUGGCCCAGUACUAUUUUAAGUGCAAACUGUGGGAUGAAGCUUCAACUUGUGCACAAAAGUGUUGUGCAUUUAAUGAUACCCGGGAAGAAGGUAAGGCCUUACUCCGGCAAAUCCUACAGCUUCGGAACCAAGGCGAGACUCCUACCACCGAGGUGCCUGCUCCCUUUUUCCUACCUGCUUCACUCUCUGCUAACAAUACCCCCACACGCAGAGUUUCUCCACUCAACUUGUCUUCUGUC